This is a non-coding RNA of Hordeum vulgare subsp. vulgare (domesticated barley), 136 nucleotides long. The record is from Rfam. NCBI's taxonomy places the organism in Eukaryota, Viridiplantae, Streptophyta, Magnoliopsida, Poales, Poaceae.
CUUAUGCUCCCUCCGUCCCAAAAUUAUUGUCUUAAGCUUGUCUAGAAAUGGAUGUAUCUAAAUACUAAAGCAUGACAAAAUACAUUCGUAUCUAGAAAAAUCUAAGACAAGAAUUUUGGGAUGGAGGGAGUAUGAA